Molecule: ribosomal RNA, 233 nt
Filed under: Escherichia coli
Lineage: Bacteria; Pseudomonadati; Pseudomonadota; Gammaproteobacteria; Enterobacterales; Enterobacteriaceae
Description: partial 23S ribosomal RNA
Rfam family: Bacterial large subunit ribosomal RNA
Source: RNAcentral
GUCGGGACCUAAGGAGAGACCGAAAGGUGUAUCCGAUGGACAACAGGUUGAUAUUCCUGUACUAGAGUAUGUAGUGAUGGAGGGACGCAGUAGGCUAACUAAAGCAGACGAUUGGAAGAGUCUGUCUAAGCAGUGAGGUGUGAACUGAGUUAAAUGCUUAGUUCUGUAACAUUGAGCUGUGAUGGGGAGCGAAGUUUAGUAGCGAAGUUAGUGACGUCACACUGCCAAGAAAC